GGGAAACUGCCUGAUGGAGGGGGAUAACUACUGGAAACGGUAGCUAAUACCGCAUAACCUCGCAAGAGCAAAGAGGGGGACCUUAGGGCCUCUCGCCAUCAGAUGUGCCCAGAUGGGAUUAGCUAGUAGGUGAGGUAAUGGCUCACCUAGGCGACGAUCCCUAGCUGGUCUGAGAGGAUGACCAGCCACACUGGAACUGAGACACGGUCCAGACUCCUACGGGAGGCAGCAGUGGGGAAUAUUGCACAAUGGGCGCAAGCCUGAUGCAGCCAUGCCGCGUGUGUGAAGAAGGCCUUCGGGUUGUAAAGCACUUUCAGCGAGGAGGAAGGCGAUAAGGUUAAUAACCUUAUCGAUUGACGUUACUCGCAGAAGAAGCACCGGCUAACUCCGUGCCAGCAGCCGCGGUAAUACGGAGGGUGCAAGCGUUAAUCGGAAUGACUGGGCGUAAAGCGCACGCAGGCGGUCUGUUAAGUUGGAUGUGAAAUCCCCGGGCUUAACCUGGGAACUGCAUUCAAAACUGACAGGCUAGAGUCUUGUAGAGGGGGGUAGAAUUCCAGGU
Molecule: ribosomal RNA, 559 nt
Filed under: uncultured bacterium
Lineage: Bacteria
Description: bacterial SSU rRNA
Rfam family: Bacterial small subunit ribosomal RNA
Source: RNAcentral